AGCUCCAAUAGCGUAUAUUAAAGUUGUUGCAGUUAAAAAGCUCGUAGUUGGAUUUCUGGCAGGAGCGACCGGUCACUCACUCUGUGUGUGAACUCGUGUUGUCUCUGGCCAUCCUCGGGGAGAUCUUGUUUGGCAUUAAGUUGUCGGGCAGGGGAUACCCGUCGUUUACUGUGAGAAAAUUAGAGUGUUUAAAGCAGGCUUAUGCCGUUGAAUAUAUUAGCAUGGAAUAAUAAGAUAGGACUUCGGAACUAUUUUGUUGGUUUGCGUUACGAAGUAAUGAUUAAUAGGGACAGUUGGGGGUAUUCGUAUUUCGUUGUCAGAGGUGAAAUUCUUGGAUUUCCGAAAGACGAACUACUGCGAAAGCAUUUACCAAGGAUGUUUUCAUUA
Molecule: ribosomal RNA, 387 nt
Filed under: Thalassiosira sp.
Lineage: Eukaryota; Bacillariophyta; Thalassiosirophyceae; Thalassiosirales; Thalassiosiraceae
Description: partial small subunit ribosomal RNA
Rfam family: Eukaryotic small subunit ribosomal RNA
Source: RNAcentral